AACGAACGCUGGCGACAGGCCUAACACAUGCAAGUCGAGCGAGGACUUCGGUUCUAGCGGCGGACGGGUGAGUAACGCGUGGGAAUGUGCCCUUCUCUACGGAAUAGCCCUGGGAAACUGGGAGUAAUACCGUAUACGCCCUAUUGGGGAAAGAUUUAUCGGAGAAGGAUCAGCCCGCGUUGGAUUAGGUAGUUGGUGGGGUAAUGGCCUACCAAGCCGACGAUCCAUAGCUGGUUUGAGAGGAUGAUCAGCCACACUGGGACUGAGACACGGCCCAGACUCCUACGGGAGGCAGCAGUGGGGAAUCUUAGACAAUGGGGGCAACCCUGAUCUAGCCAUGCCGCGUGAGUGAUGAAGGCCUUAGGGUUGUAAAGCUCUUUCAGCUGGGAAGAUAAUGACGGUACCAGCAGAAGAAGCCCCGGCUAACUCCGUG
Molecule: ribosomal RNA, 433 nt
Filed under: uncultured bacterium
Lineage: Bacteria
Description: partial 16S ribosomal RNA
Rfam family: Bacterial small subunit ribosomal RNA
Source: RNAcentral